ACAUCUGUCACUCCAUUGAUUGCCAGGAUUGACUGAGCUGAUCUGGAUGGCUCUGUGUGUGU
Non-coding RNA from Pongo abelii (Sumatran orangutan), 62 nucleotides. Lineage: Eukaryota; Metazoa; Chordata; Mammalia; Primates; Hominidae. The record is from Rfam.